GGGGCCUAACACAUGCAGUCGAGCGGUAACAUUUCAAAAGCUUGCUUUUGAAGAUGACGAGCGGCGGACGGGUGAGUAAUGCCUAGGAAAUUGCCCUGAUGUGGGGGAUAACCAUUGGAAACGAUGGCUAAUACCGCAUGAUGCCUACGGGCCAAAGAGGGGGACCUUCGGGCCUCUCGCGUCAGGAUAUGCCUAGGUGGGAUUAGCUAGUUGGUGAGGUAAUGGCUCACCAAGGCGACGAUCCCUAGCUGGUCUGAGAGGAUGAUCAGCCACACUGGAACUGAGACACGGUCCAGACUCCUACGGGAGGCAGCAGUGGGGAAUAUUGCACAAUGGGCGCAAGCCUGAUGCAGCCAUGCCGCGUGUAUGAAGAAGGCCUUCGGGUUGUAAAGUACUUUCAGUCGUGAGGAAGGGGGUAUCGUUAAUAGCGGUAUUCUUUGACGUUAGCGACAGAAGAAGCACCGGCUAACUCCGUGCCAGCAGCCGCGGUAAUACGGAGGGUGCGAGCGUUAAUCGGAAUUACUGGGCGUAAAGCGCAUGCAGGUGGUUCGUUAAGUCAGAUGUGAAAGCCCGGGGCUCAACCUCGGAACUGCAUUUGAAACUGGCGGACUAGAGUACUGUAGAGGGGGGUAGAAUUUCAGGUGUAGCGGUGAAAUGCGUAGAGAUCUGAAGGAAUACCGGUGGCGAAGGCGGCCCCCUGGACAGAUACUGACACUCAGAUGCGAAAGCGUGGGGAGCAAACAGGAUUAGAUACCCUGGUAGUCCACGCCGUAAACGAUGUCUACUUGGAGGUUGUGGCCUUGAGCCGUGGCUUUCGGAGCUAACGCGUUAAGUAGACCGCCUGGGGAGUACGGUCGCAAGAUUAAAACUCAAAUGAAUUGACGGGGGCCCGCACAAGCGGUGGAGCAUGUGGUUUAAUUCGAUGCAACGCGAAGAACCUUACCUACUCUUGACAUCCAGAGAAUCCAGCGGAGACGCAGGAGUGCCUUCGGGAGCUCUGAGACAGGUGCUGCAUGGCUGUCGUCA
RNAcentral lists this ribosomal RNA (1026 nucleotides) under Vibrio aestuarianus subsp. aestuarianus. RNAcentral's name for it is "bacterial SSU rRNA". It matches the Rfam family "Bacterial small subunit ribosomal RNA", at positions 43 to 1057 of the family's 1533-position model. The record is from RNAcentral. Lineage: Bacteria; Pseudomonadati; Pseudomonadota; Gammaproteobacteria; Vibrionales; Vibrionaceae.